UACGGGGGGGGCAAGCGUUGUUCGGAAUUACUGGGCGGAAAGGGCUCGUAGGUGGCCAACUAAGUCAGACGUGAAAUCCCUCGGCUUAACCGGGGAACUGCGUCUGAUACUGGAUGGCUUGAGUUCGGGAGAGGGAUGCGGAAUUCCAGGUGUAGCGGUGAAAUGCGUAGAUAUCUGGAGGAACACCGGUGGCGAAGGCGGCAUCCUGGACCGACACUGACACUGAGGAGCGAGAGCCAGGGGAGCAAACGGG
This 253-nucleotide ribosomal RNA is filed under the name uncultured bacterium. Its description in RNAcentral is "partial 16S ribosomal RNA". It matches the Rfam family "Bacterial small subunit ribosomal RNA", at positions 524 to 776 of the family's 1533-position model. The record is from RNAcentral.